GAGGGUAUAGCUCAGUGGUAGAGUGUGUGUUUAGCAUGCAUGAGGUCCUGGGUUCAAUCCCCAGUACCUCUA
Molecule: transfer RNA, 72 nt
Filed under: Camelus bactrianus (Bactrian camel)
Lineage: Eukaryota; Metazoa; Chordata; Mammalia; Artiodactyla; Camelidae
Also listed under: 2 other names
Rfam family: tRNA
About the family: Transfer RNA (tRNA) molecules are approximately 80 nucleotides in length. Their secondary structure includes four short double-helical elements and three loops (D, anti-codon, and T loops).
Source: Rfam by way of RNAcentral